Molecule: transfer-messenger RNA, 467 nt
Filed under: Candidatus Sungbacteria bacterium RIFCSPLOWO2_01_FULL_47_10
Lineage: Bacteria; Candidatus Sungiibacteriota
Also listed under: 1 other name
Rfam family: transfer-messenger RNA
About the family: Bacterial tmRNA, also known as 10Sa RNA or SsrA, is named for its dual tRNA and mRNA-like properties.
Source: RNAcentral
GGGGGUGUUGGGUUUCGACGGUUCAUUAAAACGUCAAAAAUCGGGUGGAAGACGUGGAGUAACUUCCUAAAACAAUCUUCACAAACAAAUAAGUGCAAACUUAUUGUCAAAAGUGCGAAACGCAGUUGCUUCGGUCUUCGGACCUGAUGAAAGGGCAUUCGCACCUGCUUUAGCUUAAUAGGUUAAAGCGACCCGUUGCGAUAGUAAUAUCGCAGCCAUCGGCGUAGCUGAUGCUUGAUCGGUUGCAUCACCGGUGUCAUACAUUCAAGCUAGGCCGACCCAUAAGGGUUCAGGCCGCGGUUCUGAAGGUCUUCCGUGCCGAAGAACGACAAACAACACGGAGAGUCCAAUGGGUGUUUCUCGGCAUUUUCAGCCCAUUGGUUCUUAGGAGGGCAAUGCCGAUAUGCCCGUAUACUUUUUGACGCGCCAUGUUCCGGACGCCGGUUCAACUCCGGUCGCCUCCAUUU